Non-coding RNA from Microcebus murinus (gray mouse lemur), 481 nucleotides. The record is from RefSeq and is a predicted model, not a curated record. NCBI's taxonomy places the organism in Eukaryota, Metazoa, Chordata, Mammalia, Primates, Cheirogaleidae.
GGAAGUACACACACAAGAAAAUCCACACACACAGAAGUAUGCAUACACAAAAGUACAGACAAAGGAAGUACUCAUUGCAUGAAUGACAGGCUUUUCACAAACAGAAAUGCUAACAGAAAGGUGAAAGGCCCUCCACAGAGGCAGUGGCCCAAUCCUGGAUUUUCCAGCCACCCAAACACAUUGCCUGGCUGCUUUCUGGGAGACCAAUUCACUAUCACUUAGUCUCCAGGGACAGAAACAAGAGGAGUGGCUCGAAAUUGUUCCAGAAGUGGUUUUGAGGAAGAAGACAACUGAUUAAUUCAAGAUUUCUUUUCCUAUAUAGAUUGCAGGAGGGAAGAAGUUUGGUGGAAAAUUUCAUCCAUGAUGAACUAUGGAAAGGUUAUUUAUUGAGAUCUAUUUGCUUGGCAUGUGGCCCUUUUUAGCUAUUUUAUUCAAUCCUUGUAUCUACCUCCACAAAUUGAGAAUCAUAUGCCUUUUUCAG